Molecule: small RNA, 1480 nt
Filed under: Pongo abelii (Sumatran orangutan)
Lineage: Eukaryota; Metazoa; Chordata; Mammalia; Primates; Hominidae
Description: retained intron
Source: RNAcentral
CUCUUUCUCUUUCUCUUCUGGCCGACAGCCGCAGCAAUGGCGCUGAGUUCCUCUGCUGGAGUUCGUCCUGCUAACUGGGUUCCUGAGCUGCCGGUCUGACCCUGAGGCAUGGAGCCUCCUGGAGACUGGGGGCCUCCUCCCUGGAGAUCCGCCCCCAAAACCGACGUCUUGAGGCUGGUGCUGUAUCUCACCUUCCUGGGAGCCCCCUGCUACGCCCCAGCUCUGCCCUCCUGCAAAGAGGACGAGUACCCAGUGGGCUCUGAGUGCUGCCCCAAAUGCAGUCCAGGUUACCGUGUGAAGCAGGCCUGUGGGGAGCUGACGGGCACAGUGUGUGAACCCUGCCCUCCGGGGACCUACAUUGCCCACCUCAAUGGCCUGAGCAAGUGUCUGCAGUGCCAAAUGUGUGACCCAGCCAUGGGCCUGCGCGCGAGCCGGAACUGCUCCCGGACAGAGAAUGCCGUGUGUGGCUGCAGCCCAGGCCACUUCUGCAUCAUCCAGGAUGGGGACCACUGCGCCGCGUGCCGCGCUUACGCCACCUCCAGCCCGGGCCAGAGGGUGCAGAAGGGAGGCACCGAGAGUCAGGACACCCUGUGUCAGAACUGCCCCCCGGGGACCUUCUCUCCCAAUGGGACCCUGGAGGAAUGUCAGCACCAGACCAAGUAAGUGAACCCGGGGGAGGCCAAGCUCUGUGCCCUGGGGAGGGGGCUCCACGUUGCUUCCCUGGGAGAUGACCGUCUUCUCCAGCAGAAAGGAUUGAAGGUCCCACCCUGAGUGGCACCCUGGUCACAUGCCUGCGACCAGGAGAGCUGCAGGGCUGAAGCCUGUGUGCCCCAGAUAACCCCUUCCACGGGCCCAGACAAAGCCUUAUCAGAUCUGAGCUUCCUGGAGGCUCAGGAUGGGCCUUCCCAGAAGCAGGCCCAGAGGGAGGCUGCCUCCAGAGCCCCUGUCCCCUGGGGCUGUGGGUGUCCCUGAAUGUCAGGGCCAUGAGAGGGCCCCCGGGCUUCAGGGGUUGGGGAAAGUGAGCACUCUGCUCUUUGUCCGCCUACGGGAGGACACCUUCAAAUGCUGACCCUGGGCCCCUAACUGACCUGAGACUUCAGAGCUUCUUGGGAGGAGCUGGGGUCCCCCAGCGGAGCCUGGGAUGGGGCAGGGGUGGCUGCUCCAGGGAGGGGGCGGUGGGGCCUUCCAUCCUGCUCUGCCCUCCUCAUCCUCUGGUCCCAGCUCAGUCCUGUCCGUCUCCAGCUCCAACCAUUUCCGUCCCGACACUGGCUCUCCCUCUACCUUCUGUCCUUGUCUGCCACUGGUCUCCCGUGCUCUGGGGUCUCUGCACUGCUGGCUGCCUCCCGCUUCUCUCCCCUCUCCCUCUGCCAUCCUGUCUCCCUUGCCCAGUCUCUCCUUGUUUCUCUUCUCCUUCUUCCUUCUCUCCACCUCCCCAUAGCCGAGCUUGGAAAAGUCAGACAGACCUCUGAGGUCUCAUCCU